RNAcentral lists this ribosomal RNA (901 nucleotides) under Lysinibacillus macroides. RNAcentral's name for it is "bacterial SSU rRNA". It matches the Rfam family "Bacterial small subunit ribosomal RNA", at positions 79 to 989 of the family's 1533-position model. Lineage: Bacteria; Bacillati; Bacillota; Bacilli; Caryophanales; Bacillaceae. The record is from RNAcentral.
UGCUCCUUUGACGUUAGCGGCGGACGGGUGAGUAACACGUGGGCAACCUACCCUAUAGUUUGGGAUAACUCCGGGAAACCGGGGCUAAUACCGAAUAAUCUCUUUUGCUUCAUGGCGAGAGACUGAAAGACGGCAUCUCGCUGUCGCUAUAGGAUGGGCCCGCGGCGCAUUAGCUAGUUGGUGAGGUAACGGCUCACCAAGGCGACAAUGCGUAGCCAACCUGAGAGGGUGAUCGGCCACACUGGGACUGAGACACGGCCCAAACUCCUACGGGAGGCAGCAGUAGGGAAUCUUCCACAAUGGGCGAAAGCCUGAUGGAGCAACGCCGCGUGAGUGAAGAAGGUUUUCGGAUCGUAAAACUCUGUUGUAAGGGAAAAACAAGUACAGUAGUAACUGGCUGUACCUUGACGGUACCUUAUUAAAAAGCCACGGCUAACUACGUGCCAGCAGCCGCGGUAAUACGUAGGUGGCAAGCGUUGUCCGGAAUUAUUGGGCGUAAAGCGCGCGCAGGCGGUCCUUUAAGUCUGAUGUGAAAGCCCACGGCUCAACCGUGGAGGGUCAUUGGAAACUGGGGGACUUGAGUGCAGAAAAGGAAAGUGGAAUUCCAGUGUAGCGGUGAAAUGCGUAAAGAUUUGGAGGAACACCAGUGGCGAAGGCGACUUUCUGGUCUGUACUGACGCUGAGGCGCGAAACGUGGGGAGCAACAGGAUUAAUACCCUGGUAGUCCCGCCGUAACGAUGAGUGCUAAUGUUAGGGGUUUCCGCCCUUAAUGCUGCAGCUAAGCAUAAGCACUCCGCCGGGGAGUACGGUCGCAGACUGAACUCAAGGAAUUGACGGGGCCCGCACAGCGGGGAGAUGUGGUUAAUUCGAAGCACGCGAAAACCUUACAGGUCUGACUUCC